This 189-nucleotide non-coding RNA is filed under the name Virgibacillus indicus. RNAcentral's name for it is "6S / SsrS RNA". It matches the Rfam family "6S / SsrS RNA". From Rfam's summary of the family: E. coli 6S RNA was the first non coding RNA to be sequenced, but its function was unknown until recently. It consists of 184 nucleotides that fold into an extended hairpin structure with a large single-stranded internal bulge. Lineage: Bacteria; Bacillati; Bacillota; Bacilli; Caryophanales; Bacillaceae. The record is from Rfam by way of RNAcentral.
UUAAUCCUGAUGUGUUCGUCUAUUAAAAGUGUUUUGACCGAACAACUGUAUACUUGGGAGCUUGAAUGGGUUUUUAUGUUGCGUGCAAGCCUCAGCUUGCUUGAGGAAGCAUAACAUACAUAAAACAAAGCACCCACCUGCCUGGAGCGGGAUCAAAACUUAAAAUUAGACGGCAUAAUUGGGAUUAAU